ACACAAACACAAAAGUCUCCAACCAACAGGAACCAACAAGGACGAGGGCCACGAGGCCACGAGGGCAGAACGAGGAGAAAGCCUGAAGUGGGUGACAGAAGAACGAGGUGAGCGAAGUGGUUGGGAAGAGCUUCCAGACUGAUCGAGGGUUUAGGGUUUCUUCUCCCUCCCUUCCUCCACUCCACCCCUCGGCCCUCGCCCCCGUCCCUGGCCCCGUCGCCGCUGCCGACGCUGCCAUGGCUGGGGUGGAGGAUGAGGACGAGUUCAAGGACGCCUCGGUGGCCGCCGAUCCGCCACCUUGCUCGCCGAAGCCCGCCUCCAAGUCCAUGACCGCUACCGGCAGCGGCGGUGGCCUCGGGAGGAGGCUGUUCGCUUCCAUUCCUCUCCCCGCCACCCUCUCCGCCGCCAUCGGCCGCUUCUCCGGCCCCAACCCGCUGGCUACCAAUGUGGGCCUCGGGCUCCUACUCGACGCGGGGCCCGCUGCCUCCUCUGACGGCCCCCUUGCCUCCGACGCGGCCUCGGGCGGCAGCAGCCUCCACCUGCCCUCGUUGCCUGCUCUCCAGCGGCAGCACGGGGAUGAUCAGGUUGCUGGGCGUGGCGCGGGUGAGUGGGAGGAGGAGCUAGGGUUGUUACCGGCCGAGGAAGGGUGGGAUACAGCUGAAGACAGUCGGGAGAAGGAGGGUCUUGCUGUUGAUGGGCGCUCUGCGAACAGAAAUUGUUUCCCGACGCGUGGUCAGGAGGAGGGGGCACAGAGACAGAGACCUGGUGAUGAGUUGGGGGCAGCCGUGGCCCAAGACCAGGAGGUGGUGGUGAAGCAACAAGGGGCCACUGAGGAUUGUGCUGCUGUGGUGGAAGAUGAGAGUAACUACUCUGCGGUAGAGCAAUGUGCUGGUGAUGAAACAAGGGCAGUCAAGGCUAGUAAUGCUGUGGAAAUAAAUAAGAGGGUGAUCGAGCAAGAAUGUGCUGGUGGCAUACUGGAUGAAGCCAAAUAUGGUGUUUCUUUAGGAUUGCAAGAGGAGAAUGCCAUGGUGGAAGAGCAAGGUGUGGAUGUCAUUUCUGUACAAAAUCAACGUGUGGCGAUGGAGCAAUGCGCUGGUGAUCAGUUGACAACAACCACAGGCGGUAGUGCUGUACAAGAGGUGGUGGUGGAGCAAGAAGGGGACACUGAGUGUUACACUGCUGUGGAAGCUGUAGAACAAUGCACCAAUCAUGGAUCAAGAGCAGACAAGGAUGGCAAUGUUGUGGAAGAGAAGGAGAAGGCGGUGGAGCAAGAAGUUUCUGUUGGUGUACGUGAUGCAGCUAAGGAUUGUGUUACUGUGGAACCACAAGAGGAGAAUGUGGUGGUGGUGGAGCAUGGUGAGGAUGGCAUUUCUGUGCAAGAUCAACAUAAGGCGGUGGAGCAAUGUACUAGUGGUCAACUUAGAACAACCAUGGAUGAUACUGCUGCAGAAGGUCAAAGGGUGGUGGAGCAGGGAGGUGCCAUUUUCUAUUUGGAUGCAACAGCAUAUGAUAUUGCUGUUGAAGAUCAAGAGAAGGAAAUGAAGGAAUCUGAUGGUGACGAAUCAAGAUCAACCAGGGAUAGAAAUCCUGCGGAAGUCAAAGAUAAGGAGGUGAACCAAGAAGAUGUCGUAGACAGACACAAUGUGAUCAAGGAUGGAAGUGGUGUGGAGUUACUAGAGAAUAACAUAGUGGCUAUAGAGCAAGGUGAGGAUGGCAUCUCUCUAUCAGAUGAGGAUAAUAUGGUGGAACUAUAUACAAGUGAUCAACUGAGAGCAACCCUGGAUGAUCAUGCUGCAGCAAAUCGAAAGGUGGUGGAGCAAGAAGGUGACAUUGUUGAAAGGGUUGUGACCACAGAUGGUAUUUCUAUUGAAGACUAUGAGAAGGAAGUAGAGCAAUCUACUGGUGACGAAUCAAGGUCAACCAAGGGUGUGAACUUUGUGGAAGAUAACGAGAAUGUGGAUCCAGAAGAUGUGAUCAACUUACAAGGUGUAAUCAAUGAUGACAGUUGUGUGGAGGCACAAGAGGAGGGCAUGGUGGUUGCGGAGCAAGGUGGCGAUGCCAUGCAUGCAGGAGAUGAGGGUAAUGUGGUGGAGCAAUGCACCAAUGAUCAGCUGAGAGCAAACAUGGAGGAUAAUGCUGCAGAAUUCCAAGAGUUGGUGGACCAAGAAGGUGCCAUUUUUGAAAAGUGUGUGACCGCUGGUGGCACUACUGUUGAAGAUCAAGACAAGGAAAUGGAGCAAUCUGCAGGUGACGAAUCAAGAGAAACCGAGGCUGAGAAUGCUGUGGAAUAUAACAAGAAGGUGGAUCAAGAAGAUACCAUUAACAGACAAGGUACAGCUAAGGAAGACAGUGGUGUGGAGCCACAAGAGGAGAACGUUGUGGAUCCAGAUCAAGGUGUGGAUGACUUUUCUGUACUAGAUGAGGGUAAUGUGGUGGCACAGUGCACCAGUGAUCAAUUGAGAACAACCAUGGAAGAUAAUGCUGCAGAGAUGCAAGAGGUGGUGGAGCAAGAAGGUGCCAUUUUUGAAAAGGGUGUGACCUCAGAUGGCAUUACUGUUGAAGAUCAAGACAAGGAAAUGGAACAAUCUGCAGGCGAUGAAUCAAGAGUGACCAAGGGUGAGAAUGCUGUGAAAGAUAAAAAGGUGUAUCAAGAAGAUGCCAUUGACAAACAAGGUGCAGCUGAGGAUGGCAGCGGUGUGAAGUCACAAGAGGACAACAUGGUGGUUCCAGGUCAAUGUACAGAUGGCCUUCCUGUACUAGAUGAGGGUAAUGUGGUGCCACAGUACACAAGUGAUCAACUGAGAACAACCACAGAUAACAAUGCUGCAGUUGAUCCAGAGUUGGUGGAGCAAGAAGGUGUUGAUAGCAUAGUGGGUGCAGCCAAGGUUGGUAUUGCUGUGGAAGAAUCGCGAGAGGACAUCAUGGUGGAAAAGCAAGUUGAAGGUGUUCUUUUACAAGAUCAAGAUGAGGCAGUGGAGCAAUGCACCAGUGAUCAACUGAGGACAAUCACAGAUGGUAAUGAUGUGGAAGAUCAAGAGGUGCACAGAGAGAAGGUUGGUCUCUCUGAAGGGUACCCACAGAAGCCUGGUAAACUGAACUGUCGUUUUUACAUGUCAACAGGGAGGUGCUCAUAUGGGUCAUCGUGCCACUUCAAUCAUCCACGGCUCAAAGCAAAACUAGAAGUUUCAAGUUUCCCUUCCGAACAAAGAAAUCAUGAAGCUGAAUUUCUGGAACUGAACCGUGUUGGCCUCCCCAUUAGAGAAGGAGCAAGGAAGUGUAUCUAUUACAUGCGUAAUGGUACAUGCAGAUAUGGAAAGAAAUGUUGUUUUAACCAUCCAGAGCAAGUUCUUGAUGUUCAACGCCACACUGCAACAGGAUGGGAUGAUACUAACUUGCAAUCUUCACCACACUCAAAGAAGUCACCUGAACAUAAAACUAUGGAUGACAUAUCGUCUGGAUCUGAGGUUCUUCCUCCAAACAUACUUCGGAUGCUUUUACCUCCCCAGAAUGUGCCCCCUAGUACAAAAGAAAAGGAAAUCAGGAUAAAAAAGGAUCCUGAUUGGGCUUCAGCUUCAGAUGAUUCUGAUGGCUGCUGCUCGGCCGAUAGUUCAGAUGGGCCUUUGUGCAAGCAGGAACAUGAGGACUAUCCUGAGAGGCCUGAAUGCCCUUUCCUUCUUAGAUUUGGUAAUUGUAAGUUUGCAUCAUCAUGCCAAUAUUACCACCCAAAAGACAAAUUUCCAAGUACCUACCAUCCAGAAGACAAAUUCCAAAGUCGAUACCAUCAAAAAGAAAAAUCAAGUCGACACCAUCCAAAAAAAGAGCCAGCACUAUCAGGAGAACUGAUGGUUUAUCCUGACAGACCUAGUGAACCUGACUGCCCCUUCUAUGUGAAAACUGGGUCCUGUAAAUUUGGGGCAAACUGUAAGUUUCAUCACCCGAAGGAUAUAACUCCAAACAUGCAGGGUCCAGCAAGUCCAAAAAGGUCGGUCGCUGCAAAAGAGCACCACGCAGCAGCUAGAGCGACAUUACAAGACCAGAUGUACCAGCAACAAAAAUUCCCUGAGCGGCCUGGCCAACCAGAUUGCCGGUACUACAUGCAAUUUGGGAAAUGUAAAUUUCAAUCAGCUUGUAUAUUCAAUCAUUCAAAAGACAUACUUUCAAGUGGGUGGCAUCCAGCAGAAUGCCCAUUCUACAUGAAAACUAGGACAUGCCAAUUUGGAUCAGCUUGUGAGUUUUAUCACCCAAAAGAUCGGUGCUCAGGCAGAGGGGGAGUGAUUGAUGGUACUGACUAUGGACAUGAUUUUGCCACGAAGUCACGGAAUGUUCUGCAGGAACUGGCAAUAUAUCCUGAAAGGCCUGAUGAACUUGAGUGUUCUCACUACAUGAAGCAUGGCUACUGUAAAUAUAAGAUGAACUGCAAAUUUCAUCAUCCAAGAGAUCGUCUUCCAAAGAAAUAGUCUACAGUGCAAAACAAUAUUUUAGGUGGCCAUAUGAGUGAACGGUUGGACACAAUCUUAAGGAAAAAGAAGAAAAAGGCAUCUAGCACUCAGUUUAUUACUCUCUUAGUGUCCUUUUCUUGGUAUAGGUACUGCAUUUCCUGUUUACCAGCUGACGUUUGCACAUCGCACAAGCUGCUGCAACUGAUCACUGUUCUGUGUUGCAAUUUGAAUCACCUGAACUCCUGAAGGACCAUUUGCUACAACCACUGUUGUAACUGGCUGUCGUUGAUGAGUGGAGCAAGUACUGAUGAUGGGACAGAAAUGCAGGAAGGAAGCCAUAGUCUUCCUUUUUUGAAGAGCUCGAUUCUACUCAUGUCUAUGUCGAAUUUCUGCCCUAGUGUCGUUAGAGUUCUCGUACCAGAUGCGAACUGCCUGGUGGCUUCCCAACUCCCGUUCAUUCAUAUACUACCAAACAUUGCUGUGAUCUAGAUCUAGCCCGAUGCGGUGCUAACCUGAGAUUGUGGGUUACUGUAGCUCAGUAUGCAGCUCAGGUACCUGCACUUGCUCAAGAUUGCGAUAAUGAUCAGAUUAAAAUAGCAGGCCACGCAUAUUCUGCAACUUGCGACUUUUACAUCGUUGUUGAGUCUCC
This is an RNA transcript of Zea mays, 5088 nucleotides long. RefSeq lists it as uncharacterized. Lineage: Eukaryota; Viridiplantae; Streptophyta; Magnoliopsida; Poales; Poaceae. The transcript is spliced from 8 exons. The record is from RefSeq and is a predicted model, not a curated record.